GCGUCGCGUCACGCCGCCUCACGACCACCGUGGGGUCUCGGCGGAUUGCAACAGCGACUGCGCUGGAUUUACACCGACACGGCGGACAGCGCCUCCCUGGUCCGUUCAGUCGCAAGGACGUCGUUCGGUUGCACGGACGGCGAGAGAUGCAGCUGGAUGGGGCACGGAAGCGAGCAGCAACGUGGAGCAGUAACAGAUCGUGGCUGCGGGCGACGCGGCCGACACGCCGUCGUCCUGUCUUCCGUGAGCGGAUCCAGCGUGCGGAACCAGCGGACGCGCGAUGCGGGCGCUCGAUCCUCGGGAUGCGGCGUGGAGUCUCCGGCGCUCUCGCUGCUCCCGGCCACACCAGCGCCUCCGCGCGGGAUGCGACGGAGUCUCCGGUGCUCUCCCUGCUCGCUGCUCUGUCGCUUCGCCCAUCGUGCAGCUGCCCCGCGCUCCACUCCCUCCAACAGCGCGUAGCACUACCCUCUCCUAUAAACGCUCUGCCACCUCCUUGCCUACCCUCCUCCAUUGGCCACAAGCGCCUCCCCCCCUGUCAUUUUCCUGGCAUGUCCACACACCUAAGCCCUUCCACGCUUCACGCCCACGGUGCCGGAGACACGCUAACCUGUGUACAUAUUUUGCUCUCGGUUCUAAGCUAUCCAAGGCAAUGGACUUUUUCCGACCAUGUUUCAGAAAGAAGCAGGCGGUGGCAGAGAUUGGCAUUUGCCGGUGGCGACAACGAGGAGGAGGCAACUUCAAUGAUGACGUAUGGUAGCUGCGGCGGCGGUGUGUGUGUGGGGAAUGAGGCCACGACGACGGAUCCAACAUGAUAAGUUCCUUCUCAGCCCCUCCCUUGUCUGCUAGCACCACCGCACCCUUCUCCCUUGUAGGUUCCCCUUGCUUCUAUAGGUCAACUGGUUUUCUCUGGUCCUGUUGAUUGAUUUGGUUAGCUUUAGCUAGCUCUGUUCAUGCCAUUAAUACCGAGUGAGACUCUUACCAGUGGUGAUAUGUUUAUUUGAUUUAGCAGGGCUUGGUGAUGAUGGCCUUCUUCAGGAUGCGUCAACCUCUGAUGUUGAUGGUCAAGAAGGCAACGACCACAUGACAACAAUGCGAACAAGUGAACCAGAGGCUCCUAUUGCGGACGCUACAAGAAUGGCUUUACUUUUGGAGAGGAGAUGGGCAUGGAUGAUCUUAAUGAUUUUUGAGACAUGGUAAAUCCCAACCCAUCUCUUGCCUUUGUCGUUCCUGAUCUGGCAACCUCUUUAAUUAAAUCCCAACCCAAUACUACUUGGUUUGGUGGUUAUUUGCUAUUUAUAAUUAAAUUCUGUCAACGUGGUCUCUCUCUUCUACAUGGAUUCCAUUUCCUUUUUUUAUUAAUGAAAAGAAAAAGGGGGUACCGUAAAGAAAAGCUCCUGGACCAGCAUUUGUAUUUUUUUUCCUUCUUAUGAAGUACAUUGGAAUGUCAUUAUUUGUAUUGUCAGUUGUGCCAGUGGAGACUUGAAAAUAUAUGAAUAUAUUUGUCCUCUCUUUCUUUAAGGUUGUCUGUUGCAGAAUAUGUGAUAAUGGAGGUUUGCAUUCAUGGAGCUAUCUUAUUUAUUAGUGUACUUUAGACUGUUGUCAGUUUAUUGAAUGGUGAUAGCAUUUUCAGUUACACAAGGAGCACUUCAGCCUUGCAGAUGCAGGACUAAGAUGCUACUAUUUUUCUGCCAGAACUAUGCCAUGUAACUAAGAUACAUUUUUUUGUCAUUUUACUGAAAAGUAUAUAACUGGUGUCGCUGAUGUAUCAUAUAGUAGUG
Triticum dicoccoides is the source of this 1778-nucleotide RNA transcript. RefSeq lists it as uncharacterized. The record is from RefSeq and is a predicted model, not a curated record. NCBI's taxonomy places the organism in Eukaryota, Viridiplantae, Streptophyta, Magnoliopsida, Poales, Poaceae. The transcript has 4 exons.